UACGGGGGGUGCGAGCGUUGUCCGGAUUCACUGGGCGUAAAGGGCGCGUAGGCGGCCCGGUCAGUCGGCGCUCUAAGUGCGGGGCUCAACCCCGUGAUGGCGCCGGGACGGCCGGGCUGGGGCGCGGCAGAGGGAGACGGAAUGCCGGGUGUAGUGGUGAAAUGCGUAGAGAUCCGGCGGAACACCGGUGGCGAAGGCGGUCUCCUGGGCCGAGGGCCGACGCUGAGGCGCGAGAGCGUGGGGAGCGAACCGG
This 253-nucleotide ribosomal RNA is filed under the name uncultured bacterium. RNAcentral describes it as "partial 16S ribosomal RNA". It matches the Rfam family "Bacterial small subunit ribosomal RNA", at positions 524 to 776 of the family's 1533-position model. The record is from RNAcentral.